Molecule: long non-coding RNA, 927 nt
Filed under: Homo sapiens (human)
Lineage: Eukaryota; Metazoa; Chordata; Mammalia; Primates; Hominidae
Description: HSALNT0324019
Source: RNAcentral
UGAGAUUUUUUUUAAACCUGAUGUCACAUCCAGGACAAACAAGAGAAGUCCUUUUAACCAAAUAGGACUCCUAUAUAACAAGAGUCUUUGAGAAGAGAGUCGUAUGACCUAAGAUGUCCCCUCCAACUACUUUGAUAUAAUGGCACAUGGAAGUGUGUCAUAAAGUGGGAGAAAAAGUGCAAGAAUUCCUCAAGACCCAUAUGUCCAACACCAUAUGGAAGCUGCCAAGGCUUGAAGCAAUGGCCUAAGCUGGAUCUCGACCCCUUUUAGCCACAGCUGAAACUGGAAUGGCUGGGAUGCAGGACACCAAGUCCCAAGGCUGCACAGAGCAACAGGUCCCUGGGCCAGGCCCAGCAUUAGGCCUAUCAAGUGUCAUGCACAGCUCAAGAGGAAAUGCUAUCUGGAAAUCCCCCAACUCCCAUGGAAAUUCCCAGCUGGCUCCCUGUACACUGCAGAUACCUGAAGUGGUUUUGAAGACUGGGCAGCUAAGACCUAAGUGAAGAAGAAUUCCUCCCCUGCAAGGAUGACCAAGAACCCAGCCGCUCUGUUUCCUUCCCGACUGGAGUCCUCUUCUCCACUGGGACCAGCUGUAUCCACCUGACCUCCAAGAGCACUCUCCAUGCCACGCACAGGGCACUGAGUGAACACCCACCUCAUUUCUCCCAGCAUGGAAAGUCAUUCCAGGAAUUCUGUGGGCAGUGGAGAGGCCCUUCCCCUUCCAGCAUGGGAAAGCCAGGCUGGUUGGGAAGCAGCUCAACUCAAGCUGCUGCUGAUACAGGUGCCCUCUCCUAGCCCCUCCCUUGUCCCCACCUGCAUUUCACCUCAAUUUCUAUCUGCAUAUGUGUCAAGUUCUCCCAAAUCCAGCAGCCACCAUGCCUGGCCUCACCAAGGGCUUGCCUCAUCUGAGCUAUUUCAGUAUAAAUAUUG